This 23-nucleotide microRNA is filed under the name Mus musculus (house mouse). Its description in RNAcentral is "mmu-miR-6944-3p". The record is from miRBase by way of RNAcentral. Lineage: Eukaryota; Metazoa; Chordata; Mammalia; Rodentia; Muridae.
UAACUCUUCCCUUGUGCCCUCAG